GACGAACGCUGGCGGCGUGCUUAACACAUGCAAGUCGAACGAUGAAGCCUUCGGGUGGAUUAGUGGCGAACGGGUGAGUAACACGUGGGUAAUCUGCCCUGCACUCUGGGAUAAGCCUUGGAAACGGGGUCUAAUACCGGAUAUCACACUUCUAGGCAUCUAGUGGUGUUGAAAGUUUUGGCGGUGCAGGAUGAACCCGCGGCCUAUCAGCUUGUUCGGUGGGGUAAUGGCCACCAAGGCGACGACGGGUAGCCGGCCUGAGAGGGUGACCGGCCACACUGGGACUGAGACACGGCCCAGACUCCUACGGGAGGCAGCAGUGGGGAAUAUUGCACAAUGGGCGAAAGCCUGAUGCAGCGACGCCGCGUGAGGGAUGAC
This 378-nucleotide ribosomal RNA is filed under the name uncultured bacterium. RNAcentral's name for it is "bacterial SSU rRNA". It matches the Rfam family "Bacterial small subunit ribosomal RNA", at positions 28 to 412 of the family's 1533-position model. The record is from RNAcentral.